GACGAACGCCGGCGGCGUGCCUAAUACAUGCAAGUAGAACGCUGAAGGAGGAGCUUGCUCUUCUGGAUGAGUUGCGAACGGGUGAGUAACGCGUAGGUAACCUGCCUGGUAGCGGGGGAUAACUAUUGGAAACGAUAGCUAAUACCGCAUAACAGUAGAUGUUGCAUGACAUUUACUUAAAAGGUGCAAUUGCAUCACUACCAGAUGGACCUGCGUUGUAUUAGCUAGUUGGUGGGGUAACGGCUCACCAAGGCGACGAUACAUAGCCGACCUGAGAGGGUGAUCGGCCACACUGGGACUGAGACACGGCCCAGACUCCUACGGGAGGCAGCAGUAGGGAAUCUUCGGCAAUGGACGGAAGUCUGACCGAGCAACGCCGCGUGAGUGAAGAAGGUUUUCGGAUCGUAAAGCUCUGUUGUAAGAGAAGAACGAGUGUGAGAGUGGAAAGUUCACACUGUGACGGUAUCUUACCAGAAAGGGACGGCUAACUACGUG
RNAcentral lists this ribosomal RNA (495 nucleotides) under uncultured bacterium. RNAcentral describes it as "partial 16S ribosomal RNA". It matches the Rfam family "Bacterial small subunit ribosomal RNA", at positions 28 to 507 of the family's 1533-position model. The record is from RNAcentral.